UACCAGCACCCCGAGUGGUCGGGACGAUUAUUGGGCCUAAAGCAUCCGUAGCCGGUUUUACACGUCCUCCGUUAAAUCCAGCUGCUUAACAGAUGGGCUGCGGAGGAUACUAUAAGACUAGGAGGCAGGAGAGGCAAGCGGUACUCAGUGGGUAGGGGUAAAAUCCGUUGAUCCAUUGAAGACCACCAGUGGCGAAGGCGGCUUGCCAGAACGCACUCGACGGUGAGGGAUGAAAGCUGGGGGAGCAAACCGG
RNAcentral lists this ribosomal RNA (253 nucleotides) under uncultured bacterium. Its description in RNAcentral is "partial 16S ribosomal RNA". It matches the Rfam family "Archaeal small subunit ribosomal RNA", at positions 474 to 727 of the family's 1478-position model. The record is from RNAcentral.